This 224-nucleotide ribosomal RNA is filed under the name uncultured bacterium. RNAcentral's name for it is "partial 16S ribosomal RNA". It matches the Rfam family "Bacterial small subunit ribosomal RNA", at positions 111 to 334 of the family's 1533-position model. The record is from RNAcentral.
UAAUAGAUAGGAACGUAUCCGGGAGUGGGGGAGUAACUAGCCGAAAGGUUAGCUAAUACCGCAUAUUCUCUGAGGAGGGAAAGCGGGGGACCUGCAAGGGCCUCGCGCUCGCGGAGUGGCCUAUCUCCGAUUAGCUAGUUGGUGAGGUAAAGGCUCACCAAGGCGACGAUCGGUAGCUGGUCUGAGAGGAUGAUCAGCCACACUGGGACUGAGACACGGCCCAG